GUGAGUAACGCGUGGGAAUCUGCCCUCAGGAGGGGGAUAACGGUUGGAAACGGCCGCUAAUACCCCAUAUGCCGAGAGGUGAAAUGAAUUUCGCCUGAGGAUGAGCCCGCGUCUGAUUAGCUAGUUGGUGAGGUAAGAGCUCACCAAGGCAUCGAUCAGUAGCUGGUCUGAGAGGAUGAUCAGCCACACUGGGACUGAGACACGGCCCAGACUCCUACGGGAGGCAGCAGUGGGGAAUUUUCCGCAAUGGGCGAAAGCCUGACGGAGCAACGCCGCGUGAGGGAUGAAGGCCUCUGGGCUGUAAACCUCUUUUAUCAAGGAAGAAGAUCUGACGGUACUUGAUGAAUAAGCCACGGCUAAUUCCGUGCCAGCAGCCGCGGUAAUACGGGAGUGGCAAGCGUUAUCCGGAAUUAUUGGGCGUAAAGCGUCCGCAGGCGGCCCUACAAGUCUGCUGUUAAAAAGUGGAGCUUAACUCCAUCAUGGCAGUGGAAACUGUUGGGCUUGAGUGUGGUAGGGGCAGAGGGAAUCCCCGGUGUAGCGGUGAAAUGCGUAGAUAUCGGGAAGAACACCAGUGGCGAAGGCGCUCUGCUGGGCCAUCACUGACGCUCAUGGACGAGAGCCAGGGGAGCGAAAGGGAUUA
This 640-nucleotide ribosomal RNA is filed under the name uncultured Synechococcus sp. Its description in RNAcentral is "bacterial SSU rRNA". It matches the Rfam family "Bacterial small subunit ribosomal RNA", at positions 106 to 780 of the family's 1533-position model. Lineage: Bacteria; Bacillati; Cyanobacteriota; Cyanophyceae; Synechococcales; Synechococcaceae. The record is from RNAcentral.